CAGUUUUGCAUUAAUGGGCGACCCGGCUGCAGGAACGUGGUGUCCGGUGCCCUCCUUGCGCCCUCGGAGCAGGGCUCCCACGGCCUGUCCCACGGCGUGUCCAGAAAGCAAGGGGCCAGCAGCACCCCGGGCUCUGACCCAAGUGUCCCCUCACCCUCCCCUUCCUGGGGCAGCAGGUCAGCAAGGACAGGGACAUGCAGGGCUCGGCCGGGCGCGGAGCCGGACCCUGUACCACCAGGCCCCACGCGGCCUCUAUCCUGUGCCACCCCUCUGAACCCCGCUUGUCCCGGGGGAGAAGGGGCCGCUCCCUCUCCCGGAACUGCUGUGGGUUUUCCGAGCUUGAUGUGAGGUAAAAAUCUGUGGACAGAAGUUCUGACCUCAGGAGCUGGUGUUCUAGAACCAAACAAGUCAAUGAGUGUGAUAUUAAGUGAGUGCAGCGGUGGAUGGUCCGUGGGAAAAAGAAAGAAGGGGGGUCAGGUGAGAGACUCAGGGAUGGGGGUCAGGGGGUGAGGAGGGAAUGAGAGCGUCAGGGGUUGGGGGUUAGGGGCCCAGGAAGCGGCAGACGCACAAAUCCGGAAUGCGGGGUGUCCCACAGGCAGCUGAUCCUGGGAACUCUACAUGACGUGAGAAGGAAAGUGAGGGGCGUGGAUCACCUCCACCGGAGACGGCAGAGCCUUCACGACCAAGGACGGGGCCUUGUUCGAAUCCUGAUUCCGGAAAAGCAAUGAGAGGAAGACAUUUGCCAGACAAGUGGGGAAGUUUGAACUUUAGAAGUGACAAGGACGCUGCAGCUAUGGUAGAAGACAUCCACGUGAGGUCUGGGAUUUGCUUUAAAACACGUUGGCAGGAAGAGGGGUGAGAGCUGGAGGGAGUGGGGCAAAUCCUGGUCCCUGUGGAAUCCAAGUGAUGGGAAUGUGGAGGCGCAUUAUAUUCUUCUGGGUGAAAAUAUCCACAAUAACUGUUCAGUUGUGCUCGGUUUAUUAUUUCCGAUUGCUGUUUACUUGAGGAAGUAUCACAGGAUAUCUCGAAAUGCAGACCAGGAAUCGCCCUGUCGUUUUGGCUCCUCACCAUGUUGACCGGGCAGGAACAGGGCACUUCACGUGGGCGUGAGCCCAGGGACGGCGGAGAUUCCCGCUUCUUCUGCAGGCGGGACUCUCGGGAGCCUCCGGCCAGGUCCUGGAGCCGGGGAGGGGAUCUUCCUUACCCUCCGUCUGAAGCUGCCAGCCUGCUCGUGACAGAAGUUGACCGGCUGACAGCGAUUUUAUGCAGAGCUGAGCACCACAGCCAGGGCCUGUCACCCCAGCUCUCAAGUGAAGAUCCAGGGGUAUUUUCAAGCAGAAAUAAUGGGCCGUUGUGGCCUUUUAAAGAGAUAUGAUUUAUCUCUGGGACCGCAUCCAGGCCGGAUGCUGGAGGACAAGCCCAGGCUCCCUGGCCAGCGAGGAGGUUUUUAAUCCCUCGGCGGCUGGUCUGCAGAUGGAGGACAGCUGAGGCCCCGCAGCCCGGGCGACCAGGAGGGGGGUGAUCUGUGCCGGGCACGGAAAAGCGGCUAAUGCAGGCGCUGCAGGGGGCGUGUCUGUGCGCCCCAAGGAGGGUGGAGAUUUGGGAAAUUCUGUGGAAUUUGAACCACACGAUGGUUAACUGGGCGACUCAGAGACCAGGUGGAAUGUUUUCAGGCAGAAUCAUGUGGUUCAGUUGCCUUCUUUCCUCAAAUGCAGGAAUUCGUGUUGGUGAAGAAGUAAAUUAUGAACCUUGGAUGGAAAACAGCUGCGUGUGUCCUCGGCCGUAAACGCAGAUCUCCUGAGCCGGUUAAUUGGACGAUGACAGACUCUGCCAGCUGUCUCACCGGGGCAUGCCCUCCUUUCUCACCAGCAGGACCCUGAUGGUCACAUGCUCCCUGAACCUUGUCCAGCCCCCUGCUGUCACGCCCCGUGACACCGUGCUAGGCAGGAGGGGGAACCGGAGUCUCCCUACCUCAGCCUCUUCCUCCCUCUCGCCUCCUCCUCCCUCCGAGUCCUUGGCGAUUCUCGGGCAGCGUGGUGUGGUCCUGCACGUCCCCUUCGCGGAGGGAACAUCUCCUGUGCGUCCCCCAGCAUCCACUCCCCUCCUUGUAUGAACAGACCCGACUGCAUGUGAGAAUUCACUUUCCUGCCUCAGUCCCUGUGUUUGGGGUGAGCUGACCCUGAGCCCCAGGCCCCGGGGAGCACACGAGCCAGGCCUGGCUGAGCCCCUACUGCCCAGCCCCGGACAGUGAUGGGCUCGGUGACAGGAGGGACCUAAACGGGCCCGUUGGUGACUCUGGGGCUCUUGGGGCAUCCCACUCUUGUCCCCGGCCUUGGACCUGAGCGCUGUGGGGCUGGAGCUGCGGUGGGUGGGUGCGUGGGGCACCUGCAGCUGCUGGGCCCUGAAUGGAGCCUCGGGUGGGGCAGGGUAGGGGAACAUGGGAGACCAGCAAAGUCCGGGGGACAUCUGAGCGCUCAGACCCAGCUCUGCCUGAAGACCAGGCCCCACUGCACCAGCCUGCUAAUGCCCCUGGCCUGAGCCACCUGAGUCUGUCACUUGUCACCAGGAGAAUCUCACAUGAACCAUGAUAAGGUUCAAUUUUGGGCAGAAACCCCCCUGGCCCCUUGGGAAACCUCCAACCUGUC
This is a long non-coding RNA of Equus caballus (horse), 2645 nucleotides long. The record is from Ensembl. NCBI's taxonomy places the organism in Eukaryota, Metazoa, Chordata, Mammalia, Perissodactyla, Equidae.